UGUCCUGCCAGCUUAGCAACUCCAACUCAAAGAGCACCACUUUUUCAAUGAUUUUAGCCAAAAUUCCAAGACUUGUCUCAGACCAACCUGAAUCAUGUGCCUGCUCUUGAACAAAGCACAGUAGCCAGGGAAAAAUUGUGCUUUGAUUAUCUAGGACUGGAUCCUGGACCUGCCCCUGGGACUUGCGGAAGGGGACAGCUCAAUCUGAGCCAUAUCAACUGAGAACACAGGAAGCAUGGUCCUACCAAGAGAUGUCUAUUCCAGGUAUGGUGGAGCCUCAGAGGACAGCAUGACUCUCGUUCAGCUGGUGGAUCAGGGAAUGGUCCAAUAAGCCACAGCUGUGGAUAUGAAGGUCUUGUGAAAUCAGUGACCUCUGGGUCAUGUAGAAACCCAGCACAUUCCCACAGGACACAGCCUAGCAGUUGAUCAGAGCAGUAGUUCAUACCUGAGACCCUGGAUUUUCAGACCCUCCCCCAGGCCCCACCAGCCUCUGUCAGUGCCAAGCUGGACGGAACAAACCACAUGAGGACUCAUUCAGCCCCAGCUCAGAGGACUGUUUCAUGGGUACUGGUGGCAGGAAUUCUUGGUUGUCUUCAAUGUCUGGCUCCCUGAUUUUCGGUAGGGAACAUGGUCAGC
RNAcentral lists this long non-coding RNA (636 nucleotides) under Homo sapiens (human). Its description in RNAcentral is "HSALNT0196052". The record is from RNAcentral. Lineage: Eukaryota; Metazoa; Chordata; Mammalia; Primates; Hominidae.